GCUUGGGUUAUUUGAAGCAGCUUUCUACUCAUCUUCCUGUUUCUAGUCUCUCACAUACCACCUGGUGUCAGAUCAAUCUUACUUAAAUUACACUUUUGUAAUGUUAAGUUCCUGUUAAAACCAAAACUAAACAAACGAAAACUUCAAUCAUCAUUCUUCUCUACUACUUUCAGAUGGUGGUGCCAGAGGGAUCAAAUAUAGAGACGAUAGUACCUAAGAUUAUACUUCACAAACUAGAUAGUGGGGUAAAUGUUAGUGAGAAGGUCUGCAAAUUAUUUGUAUAAAGACAUUCCAGUUUGCCUUUCUGUAAAACCACAUAAACUAGCUUACAUCAGCAGAACAGAAGGAACCACUUCUACAGUAACUCCUCUAAAUCCAUGAUAUCUCCUCUCCUGAGCCUCAGCAGAUUGCUCGGAUAUUACUUUCUGGAGAGCCUGAACCAGAUAGAUUAACUCUGCACUUGGGGACAUCAUAAUACCUUGUGGAUAGGAGUAACGUAAGUUUACUUACAGAGAGGUGAGAACUAUUCCUUCAACUUUCUCAUGUCCCAGAACUGUAGCACAUGCUUAAUCCUUUCCCAAUCUCAGCUCACAACUGAGAAGUUUCUUUCAGGUGGAAGUGACUGAAUACUGCAUAUUCUCCCUUAUAGGUGAGAGCUAAAUGAUGAAAACUCAUGGUUGUAAGGAAGGGAGAAAGAGACACUGGGGCCUACUUGAGGGUGAAGGGUGGGAGGAGGGAGAUGAUCAAAAAAAAUAACUAUUAGGUAGUAGGCUUAGCAUCUGGGGGAUGAAAUAAUCUAUACAACAAACACCUGUAGCACAAGUUUACCUAUAUAACAAACCUGCACAUGUACUCCUGAAUCUAAAAUAAAACUUUUUUGUUUUUUUUUGAGAUUGAGUUUUUCUCUUAUUGCCCAGGCUGGAGUGCAAUGGCACAAUCUUGGCUCACCGCAACCUUCACUUCCCAGGUUCAAGUGAUACUCCUGUCUCAGCCUCCCGAGUAGCUGGGAUUACAGGCAUGCGCCACCAUGCCUGGCUUAUUUUUUGUAUUUUUAGUAGAGAUGGGAUUUUUCCAUGUUGGUCAGGCUAAAAGUUUUUUUAAAAAAGAAAUGACUGGUUACAAGAGAAAAGACCACUGAACAAGAGACUACGUCUGUCCUAAUAGCUCCC
RNAcentral lists this long non-coding RNA (1169 nucleotides) under Callithrix jacchus (white-tufted-ear marmoset). Its description in RNAcentral is "lncRNA (ENSCJAG00000069630.1)". The record is from RNAcentral. Lineage: Eukaryota; Metazoa; Chordata; Mammalia; Primates; Cebidae.